CUCCUCCACGUUCGCCCCCAGCCUGCGGCUCCUCCAUCUCCUUUUGUCUGCCUGUGACUCUUCCGCUUUUAUCCCCCACCACCCCCAUGGCUUCUCCAUGCCUGUCCCAGCCAUCCUGAUGGCUUCACAUGAGCCCACCCUCUCCCCACCCCUCAAUGCCUGCGGUUCCUCAUAUCCCUCAGCCCGUCAUUUUUUUACGCCACCACCACCCC
RNAcentral lists this long non-coding RNA (212 nucleotides) under Elaeis guineensis (African oil palm). RNAcentral's name for it is "long non-coding RNA (EGUI_LNC011062)". Lineage: Eukaryota; Viridiplantae; Streptophyta; Magnoliopsida; Arecales; Arecaceae. The record is from RNAcentral.